Molecule: ribosomal RNA, 253 nt
Filed under: uncultured bacterium
Lineage: Bacteria
Description: partial 16S ribosomal RNA
Rfam family: Bacterial small subunit ribosomal RNA
Source: RNAcentral
UACGUAGGGGGCAAGCGUUGUCCGGAUUUAUUGGGCGUAAAGAGCGUGUAGGCGGCUUGGCAAGUCUGCUGUGAAAACUCGAGGCUCAACCUCGAGCUGUCGGCGGAAACUGCUUGGCUAGAGUCCGGAAGAGGAGAGUGGAAUUCCUGGUGUAGCGGUGAAACGCGCAGAUAUCAGGAAGAACACCUAUGGCGAAGGCAGCUCUCUGGGACGGUACUGACGCUGAGACGCGAAAGCGUGGGGAGCGAACAGG